Molecule: ribosomal RNA, 490 nt
Filed under: uncultured bacterium
Lineage: Bacteria
Description: partial 16S ribosomal RNA
Rfam family: Bacterial small subunit ribosomal RNA
Source: RNAcentral
AUUGAACGCUGGCGGCAGGCCUAACACAUGCAAGUCGAACGGUAAUAGGAAGCAGCUUGCUGCUUCGCUGACGAGUGGCGGACGGGUGAGUAAUGUCUUGGAAACUGCCUGAUGGAGGGGGAUAACUACUGGAAACGGUAGCUAAUACCGCCUAACGUCGCAAGACCAAAGAGGGGGACCUUAGGGCCUCUUGCCAUCGGAUGUGCCCAGAUGGGAUUAGCUAGUAGGUGGGGUAACGUCUCACCUAGGCGACGAUCCCUAGCUGGUCUGAGAGGAUGACCAGCCACACGGGAACUGAGACACGGUCCAGACUCCUACGGGAGGCAGCAGUGGGGAAUAUUGCACAAUGGGCGCAAGCCUGAUGCAGCCAUGCCGCGUGUAUGAAGAAGGCCUUCGGGUUGUAAAGUACUUUCAGCGGGGAGGAAGGGAGUAAAGUUAAUACCUUUGCUCAUUGACGUUACCCGCAGAAGAAGCACCGGCUAACUCCGUG